RNAcentral lists this ribosomal RNA (413 nucleotides) under Peptostreptococcus russellii. RNAcentral's name for it is "bacterial SSU rRNA". It matches the Rfam family "Bacterial small subunit ribosomal RNA", at positions 1 to 406 of the family's 1533-position model. The record is from RNAcentral. Lineage: Bacteria; Bacillati; Bacillota; Clostridia; Peptostreptococcales; Peptostreptococcaceae.
UUUAACGAGAGUUUGAUCCUGGCUCAGGAUGAACGCUGGCGGCGUGCUUAACACAUGCAAGUCGAGCGCGGUCCCUUUGGUGCUUGCACCAGAGAAGACUGAGCGGCGGACGGGUGAGUAACGCGUGGGUAACCUGCCCUAUACACAUGGAUAACAUGCUGAAAAGCAUACUAAUACAUGAUAACGUACACUGAUGGCAUCUUCGGUGUAUCAAAGCGUUAGCGGUAUAGGAUGGACCCGCGUCUGAUUAGCUAGUUGGUGGGGUAAAAGCCUACCAAGGCCACGAUCAGUAGCCGACCUGAGAGGGUGAUCGGCCACAUUGGAACUGAGACACGGUCCAAACUCCUACGGGAGGCAGCAGUGGGGAAUAUUGCACAAUGGGCGAAAGCCUGAUGCAGCAACGCCGCGUGAAC